This 890-nucleotide ribosomal RNA is filed under the name Polypedates leucomystax (Java whipping frog). RNAcentral describes it as "partial 16S ribosomal RNA". It matches the Rfam family "Bacterial large subunit ribosomal RNA", at positions 1112 to 2606 of the family's 2925-position model. The record is from RNAcentral. Lineage: Eukaryota; Metazoa; Chordata; Amphibia; Anura; Rhacophoridae.
GCAGCCACCUUUUAAAACGCGUCAAAGCGUAACCUUAACCCCCAAAAUACCACUAAUUUUCAUGAACCCCUAAUUUAUAAUGAAUGACUCCAUAUUUAUAUGGAAGACACCAUGCUAGGAUUAGUAACAAGAAUUUAUAAUUCUCCAAAAUGCAAAUAUAAACCAACAUGGAUGGACCAUUGGUAGUUACCGAACCUAAAUUCAAUGCAAUAACACCUACAAGAAAACUCUGCAGUACUCAAUCGUUAACCUAACACCAGCGCAUUACAGGAAAGAUUAAAAAAAAGAGAAGGAAUUCGGCAAAUGACGGCCCCGCCUGUUUACCAAAAACAUCGCCUCUUGACUUAUAAUAAGAGGUCUAGCCUGCCCAGUGAAUUUUAAACGGCCGCGGUAUCCUAACCGCGCGAAGGUAGCAUAAUCACUUGUUCUUUAAAUGGGGACUCGUAUCAACGGCAUCACGAGGGUUUUACUGUCUCCUCUUUUUGAUCAGUGAAAUUGAUCUUCCCGUGAAGAAGCGGGAAUAAAUUUAUAAGACGAGAAGACCCCAUGGAGCUUUAAACCAAAUAACAACUUAACCACUCACCCCAUAAUAAAUUUAAGCCCUGUUAUAAGGUUUUUGGUUGGGGUGACCGCGGAGUAAAGCAUAUCCUCCACGACGAAAAGAACAGAAUCUUUAUUUAAGAACCACACUUCUAGAAAUUAGUAUACUAACGUUUACUGACCCGACAAUCGAUCAACGGACCAAGUUACCCUGGGGAUAACAGCGCAAUCUACUUCAAGAGCUCAUAUCGACAAGUAGGCUUACGACCUCGAUGUUGGAUCAGGGUAUCCCGGUGGUGCAGCCGCUACCGAAGGUUCGUUUGUUCAACGAUUAAAACCCUACGUGAUCU